GGCUCAGGACGAACGCUGGCGGCGUGCUUAACACAUGCAAGUCGAACGGUAAGGCCCCUUCGGGGGUACACGAGUGGCGAACGGGUGAGUAACACGUGAGUGACCUGCCUUUCUCUUCGGGAUAACCUCCAGAAAUGGUGGCUAAUACCGGAUAUGACUUCCUGCUGCAUGGUGGGGGGUUGAAAGCCUUGUGCGGAGAUUGAUGGACUCGCGGCCUAUCAGCUUGUUGGUGAGGUAGUGGCUCACCAAGGCUUCGACGGGUAGCCGGCCUGAGAGGGUGAUCGGCCACAUUGGGACUGAGAUACGGCCCAGACUCCUACGGGAGGCAGCAGUGGGGAAUAUUGCACAAUGGGCGCAAGCCUGAUGCAGCAACGCCGCGUGCGGGAUGACGGCCUUCGGGUUGUAAACCGCUUUCAUCCAUGACGAAGCUUUUUGUGACGGUAGUGGGAGAAGAAGGACCGGCCAACUACGUGCCAGCAGCCGCGGUAAUACGUAGGGUCCGAGCGUUGUCCGGAAUUAUUGGGCGUAAAGAGCUUGUAGGCGGUUUGUCACGUCGAAAGUGAAAACUCAGGCCUUAAUCCUGAGCUUGCUUUCGAUACGGGCUGACUAGAGGAAGGUAGGGGAGAAUGGAAUUCCUGGUGGAGCGGUGGAAUGCGCAGAUAUCAGGAGGAACACCAGUGGCGAAGGCGGUUCUCUGGACCUUUCCUGACGCUGAGAAGCGAAAGCGUGGGGAGCAAACAGGCUUAGAUACCCUGGUAGUCCACGCCGUAAACGGUGGGCACUAUGUGUGGGUCGCAUUCCACGUGAUCCGUGCCGUAGCUAACGCAUUAAGUGCCCCGCCUGGGGAGUA
This 850-nucleotide ribosomal RNA is filed under the name uncultured Propioniferax sp. RNAcentral's name for it is "bacterial SSU rRNA". It matches the Rfam family "Bacterial small subunit ribosomal RNA", at positions 21 to 882 of the family's 1533-position model. The record is from RNAcentral. Lineage: Bacteria; Bacillati; Actinomycetota; Actinomycetes; Propionibacteriales; Propionibacteriaceae.